UACGAAGGGGGCUAGCGUUGCUCGGAAUUACUGGGCGUAAAGCGCACGUAGGCGGCUCUUUAAGUCGGGGGUGAAAUCCUGGAGCUCAACUCCAGAACUGCCUUCGAUACUGAAGAGCUCGAGUCCGGGAGAGGUGAGUCGAACUGCGAGUGUAGAGGUGAAAUUCGUAGAUAUUCGCAAGAACACCAGUGGCGAAGGCGGCUCACUGGCCCGGUACUGACGCUGAGGUGCGAAAGCGUGGGGAGCAAACAGG
This 253-nucleotide ribosomal RNA is filed under the name uncultured bacterium. RNAcentral describes it as "partial 16S ribosomal RNA". It matches the Rfam family "Bacterial small subunit ribosomal RNA", at positions 524 to 776 of the family's 1533-position model. The record is from RNAcentral.